AGCCCUCUAAGCAGCUGAGAUUACAGCAUGCGCCACUAUCCCCGGAUUGAAGAAUUGUAUCUAUCUUCAAGUUCACUUUCUCUGUCAUCUCUAUUCUGCUAUUGUGCCAUCAGGGUCAAGCAGCAAGAAGAUAAACAGAGAAAAAAAAUUAACAGUUAUUAGCCCCACCCUAAUGAAGCCAAAGAGUUCCACUGGGAAAGAGCAACUGAAAGCUCUGCGUUUGAAACUCUCCUGGACUCAGUCUCAUGUAUCUCCCACUUUGGCUGAUGACGAUCUAUAUCCUUUAACUGUAAUAAACAAACCAUAACUGUAAGUACAACAGUUCUGUGAGUCUUUCUAGCAAAAUCAAAGGUGGUCCUGGGGAUCCCCAAAUUUGAAAUUGAUCUUCGAAGUGAGGGUGGUUUGUAUAGACUGAAUAUUUGUGUUUCUAAAAAUUCAUAUGUUUAAAUCCUAACCUCCAGUGUAAUGCUUUAGGAUGUGGAAUCAUUGUAGGUGAUUAGGUCAAGAGAGUGGAGGCCUCAUGAGUGGGAAAGCUCACUUGCCACUUCUACCAUGUGAGUUUACAGCGAGAACAGUCUACAAACCUGGAAGAGGACCCUCACCAGGCAAUGAAUAUUUGAUCUUGGCCUUCC
This 632-nucleotide long non-coding RNA is filed under the name Homo sapiens (human). Its description in RNAcentral is "HSALNT0093231". Lineage: Eukaryota; Metazoa; Chordata; Mammalia; Primates; Hominidae. The record is from RNAcentral.